CAUUUAAUUAGUAGAACCAAAAAAUUCCCUAUCCCUAUCAAUCAAAAUUACAAUUAACAAAACACAAAGUAAUACAUAAAGCAAUUUGGUCUGCACACUAAAUCUAUUUAUUCAGAACUAUACUCUAAUUUUACAGAACUGGACAAGCAGCCAAGAGAGAAAGCGAGAGUGAUCGAGAAGGGGGCAGGAGGAGAUUAAUCUUUCCAAAAGAGAGCACAGAAAUGGAGAAAUUAUUUCUAAAUUUUUGACAUUUAGCAUGAACACCUUCCAAAAAGACAAACACAGCUAGCCCAUCCGUCAGUAAAAAAAUGAGAAUACUGAGAGGCUAUUACAUUUCCGUCGGCGAACGGGCCACGACGGAGACCUUCUUGACGGCGAGGCAGACCGGGCACGCCUCCGCCCUCGGCUCGCACGGCCGGCACAGGCACAGGUGCCGGCAUGGCAGUAGCNN
This 451-nucleotide long non-coding RNA is filed under the name Oryza brachyantha (malo sina). RNAcentral describes it as "long non-coding RNA (OBRA_LNC002890)". Lineage: Eukaryota; Viridiplantae; Streptophyta; Magnoliopsida; Poales; Poaceae. The record is from RNAcentral.